UACAGAGGUCCCGAGCGUUGUUCGGAUUCACUGGGCGUAAAGGGUGCGUAGGUGGUGAGGUAAGUCGGAUGUGAAAUCUCCGGGCUCAACCCGGAAAUGGCAUUGGAAACUACCUUGCUUGAGGGUUUGAGGGGGGAUUGGAAUACUUGGUGUAGCAGUGAAAUGCGUAGAUAUCAAGUGGAACACCAGUGGCGAAGGCGAAUCCCUGGACAACACCUGACACUGAGGCACGAAAGCUAGGGGAGCAAACAGG
This 253-nucleotide ribosomal RNA is filed under the name uncultured bacterium. Its description in RNAcentral is "partial 16S ribosomal RNA". It matches the Rfam family "Bacterial small subunit ribosomal RNA", at positions 524 to 776 of the family's 1533-position model. The record is from RNAcentral.